AAGAGAAUGAUUAAACAAUUAAAAGCUUUCUUUAAUUAAAUAAUUGAAUUUAAUUUUUUAGUGCAAAAGCAAAAAUAAAAAUUAGGGACAAGAAGACCCUAUGAAUUUUUUAUUAAAUUUUAUAAAACUUUAUAUAAAAUUUAAUUUAAUUGGGGUGAUGGAAAAAGAAUAAAUAUCUUUUUUUUUAAAAAAAAUUGGUUCCGUUUUUAGCGAUUAAAUGAAAAAAAUACUCUAGGGAUAACAGCGUAAUAAUUUUGGAUAGUUCAUAUAGAUAAAAUAGUUUGCGACCUCGAUGUUGGAUUAGGAUUCUUUUUUGGUGAAGAAGUUAAAAAAAGAAGUUUGUUCAACUUAUAAUUUCCU
RNAcentral lists this ribosomal RNA (360 nucleotides) under Ixodes ricinus (castor bean tick). RNAcentral's name for it is "partial large subunit ribosomal RNA". The stretch from base 237 to 360 matches the Rfam family "Bacterial large subunit ribosomal RNA", at positions 2473 to 2597 of the family's 2925-position model. Lineage: Eukaryota; Metazoa; Arthropoda; Arachnida; Ixodida; Ixodidae. The record is from RNAcentral.